Molecule: ribosomal RNA, 774 nt
Filed under: uncultured Neocallimastigales
Lineage: Eukaryota; Fungi; Neocallimastigomycota; Neocallimastigomycetes; Neocallimastigales
Description: partial large subunit ribosomal RNA
Rfam family: Eukaryotic large subunit ribosomal RNA
Source: RNAcentral
UAUGUGAUCGUCUCUCGCAUAUCAAUAAGCGGAGGAAAAGAAACUAACAAGGAUUCCCCUAGUAACGGCGAGUGAAGCGGGAAGAGCUCAAAUUUGAAAUCUUAAAGGGUUUCCCUUUACGAAUUGUAGUUUAAAGAAGUGUUUUCUGUUGAGGUUUUGGUAAAAGUUCUUUGGAAUAGGACAUCAUAGAGGGUGAGAAUCCCGUAUUUGACCUUUACUUUCAACUUUGUGAUACACUUUCAAAGAGUCGGAUUGUCUGGGAAUGCAGUCCAAAAUGGGUGGUAAAUUUCAUCUAAAGCUAAAUAUUGGCGAGAGACCGAUAGCGAACAAGUACCGUGAGGGAAAGAUGAAAAGAACUUUGAAAAGAGAGUUAAACAGUACGUGAAAUUGUCAAAAGGGAAGCGUUUGACACCAGUGUUGUUUUUCUGAAAAUCAAUUAAAGAACUGUUUAUGCUAAGCUGUUUAGACUUUAUCAGCUAUCUGUUUAGUUUUGAGCUUUUCUUUAAUGCACUUUUCAGUUAACAAGUCAACAUCAAUUUCUUUUGCUGUAAAAAAGCUUGAGGAAGGUGGCUUGAGAUUCGUCUUAAGUGUUUAUAGCCUCUUGCCUAUGCAGUCGGAGAGAUUGAGGUCUGCAGCGUAGAUCCUUCGGGGCUAAAUGCAUUUGUGCUAAGUUAUAGCAUUUUAUAGACAACUUGUUGACUAUGAUUUGUCUUGUAGCUUACUCGCUUAUGUUAUUUUACCUACGCUUAGGAUGUUGAGCGCAUGUCUCUCUCU